GGCUCAGGACGAACGCUGGCGGCGUGCUUAACACAUGCAAGUCGAACGAAGCACUUUAUUUGAUUUCCUUCGGGACUGAUUAUUUUGUGACUGAGUGGCGGACGGGUGAGUAACGCGUGGGUAACCUGCCUUGUACAGGGGGAUAACAGUUGGAAACGGCUGCUAAUACCGCAUAAGCGCACAGCAUCGCAUGAUGCAGUGUGAAAAACUCCGGUGGUAUAAGAUGGACCCGCGUUGGAUUAGCUAGUUGGUGAGGUAACGGCCCACCAAGGCGACGAUCCAUAGCCGACCUGAGAGGGUGACCGGCCACAUUGGGACUGAGACACGGCCCAAACUCCUACGGGAGGCAGCAGUAGG
Molecule: ribosomal RNA, 357 nt
Filed under: uncultured Eubacterium sp.
Lineage: Bacteria; Bacillati; Bacillota; Clostridia; Eubacteriales; Eubacteriaceae
Description: bacterial SSU rRNA
Rfam family: Bacterial small subunit ribosomal RNA
Source: RNAcentral